GACGAACGCUGGCGGCGUGCUUAACACAUGCAAGUCGAACGGAAGGGCCCUGCUUUUGUGGGGUGCUCGAGUGGCGAACGGGUGAGUAACACGUGAGUAACCUGCCCUUGACUUUGGGAUAACUUCAGGAAACUGGGGCUAAUACCGGAUAGGAGCUCCUGCUGCAUGGUGGGGGUUGGAAAGUUUCGGCGGUUGGGGAUGGACUCGCGGCUUAUCAGCUUGUUGGUGGGGUAGUGGCUUACCAAGGCUUUGACGGGUAGCCGGCCUGAGAGGGUGACCGGCCACAUUGGGACUGGGAUACGGCCCAGACGCCUACGGGAGGCAGCAGUGGGGAAUAUUGCACAAUGGGCGGAAGCCUGAUGCAGCAACGCCGCGUGCGGGAUGACGGCCUUCGGGUUGUAAACCGCUUUCGCCUGUGACGAAGCGUGAGUGACGGUAAUGGGUAAAGAAGCACCGGCUAACUACGU
This 467-nucleotide ribosomal RNA is filed under the name uncultured bacterium. RNAcentral describes it as "partial 16S ribosomal RNA". It matches the Rfam family "Bacterial small subunit ribosomal RNA", at positions 28 to 506 of the family's 1533-position model. The record is from RNAcentral.